This 7084-nucleotide long non-coding RNA is filed under the name Setaria viridis. RNAcentral's name for it is "long non-coding RNA (SVIR_LNC009705)". Lineage: Eukaryota; Viridiplantae; Streptophyta; Magnoliopsida; Poales; Poaceae. The record is from RNAcentral.
CAUGUCUCCACAUGUGUCCACAUUAUUAGUUCAACAACUCCAUGUCCAUGACUUGUGAAACAUAGUCAUCAACUAAUACAUGUGCUAGUCUAAUAUUCAUGUGUGUCCUCACAUGAACUCCGACUAGGGACAACUUUAGAAUAACCAUACAAGUAAAGAGUUUUCACAUACAAUUCACAUAAUUGCAAAUCAAUUCAAGUAGCCUUUAAUGGAUAUUCAAUGAACACAAUAUACAAAUCAUGGAUACAAAUGGAAUAUCAUCAUCUCUAUGAUUGCCUCUAGGGCAUACCUCCAACAGUCUCCCACUUGCACUAGAGUCAAUCUAGAAGGUACCUAAUGCCCAUAGCUCUUACAUGCGCAUCAUGCUUAGCCUGCGGGAGUGGUUUUGUCAACGGAUCAGAAAUGUUCAGAUCCGUGUGUAUUUUGCAUAUCUUGAUCUCACCCUGGUUAACGAAGUCUCGAAUGAGAUGAAAUCGCCGCAUUACGUGUUUGUUCUUCUGGUGGUUCCUUGGCUCCUUUGCUUGCGCAAUUGCCCCAUUGUUAUCACAGUAGAGAUUCAAUGGGCUGGACGCAUUCGGGAACACACCCAGCUCAAUGAGGAAAUUCCUUAUCCAAACACCUUCCUUCGCGGCUUCCGAAGCCGCGAUGUACUCGGCUUCUGUCGUAGAAUCGGCCACCGUCUCCUGCUUGGAACUCUUCCAACUAACAGCACCACCAUUUAGCGUGAACACAAAUCCUGAUUGUGACUUUGAAUCAUCUCUAUCGGUUUGGAAACUAGCAUCGGUGUAACCUGUUACAACGAGCUCCUCCUGACCUCCAUAGACGAGGAACAUAUCUUUAGUCCUUCUCAAGUACUUAAGAAUGUUUUUCACCGCUGUCCAGUGACUCUCAUCUGGAUCAGAUUGGUGUCUGCUUGUCAUACUUAGCGCAUAUGAAACAUCUGGGCGAGUACUUAUCAUUGCAUACAUGAUAGAUCCAAUAGCCGAGGCAUAUGGCACUCUACUCAUGCGAUCCCGCUCAUCAGCAGUCGAAGGACACUGAGUCUUGCUGAGAUGUAUGCCAUGUGACAUAGGCAAGAACCCUUUCUUUGCCUCUUCCAUGCUGAACCGCUUCAACACUUUGUCAAUGUAAGUAUCUUGUCUUAAACCUAUAAGCCUUCUCGAUCUAUCUCUAUAGAUCUUAAUGCCCAGAAUAUAUGCCGCUUCCCCUAAGUCCUUCAUCGAAAAACUAUUUUUCAGUGAAGUCUUUACGGACUCAAGCAUAGGAAUAUUAUUUCCAAUCAGUAAUAUGUCAUCCACAUAUAAGAUUAGAAAUACUACAGAGCUCCCACUAACCUUCUUGUAAACACAAGACUCUUCUUCGUUCUUGGUGAAGUCAAACCCUUUGACUACUUCAUCAAAACGAAUGUUCCAACUCCUAGAUGCUUGCUUCAAUCCAUAAAUGGAUCUCUGAAGCUUGCAUACCUUUCCAGCAUUUUUCGGAUCGACAAAACCCUCGGGCUGUAUCAUAUACACGUCCUCAGCUAGGUUUCCAUUCAGGAAAGCUGUCUUGACAUCCAUCUGCCAUAUCUCAUAAUCGAAAUAUGCAGCUAUAGCUAGAAUAAUCCGAAUGGACUUAAGCAUCACUACGGGCGAGAAGGUCUCAUCGUAGUCAACUCCUUGAACUUGUCGAAAACCUUUUGCGACAAGUCGUGCUUUAUAGAUGUGAACAUUUCCAUCCAUGUCCUUUUUCUUCUUAUAGAUCCACUUGCACUCUAUGGCUUUAACACCAUCAGGCGGGUCAACCAAGUUCCAAACUUGAUUGUCUCCCAUGGACUCUAUUUCGGAUUGCAUGGCACUCUGCCAUUUUUCGGAGUCUGGGUCCAUCAUUGCUUCUGCAUAUGUCGCAGGCUCAUCAUUGUCCAACAAUAAUAUUUCCCGCAUUUCGCGGAGCCUUGUCGACCUUCGUGGUUGUGGCUGUGCUUCUCUUGCCAUGGGUAUCUCAACUUGUUCUGCUACGUUAGCAUCACUCAUUGAUUCUUGCCCGAUUGGCUCAUCUUGAACUUCUUCAAGAUGCACUGUCUUUCCACUCUUUUCUCCUUUGAGAAACUCUUUCUCUAGGAAAACCCCAUUCCGAGCGACAAACACUUUGCCUUCUGAUCGGUUGUAGAAAUAAUAUCCCAAAGUUUCCUUUGGAUAUCCCACGAAAAUGCACUUAUCCGACUUGGGUGUGAUCUUGUCCGACUGAAGUCGCUUGACAAACACUUCACAUCCCCAAAUCUUUAGAAAAGACAAACUAGGAACCUUUCCAGUCCACAUCUCAUAUGGUGUCUUAACCACGGAUUUAGAUGGUACCCUAUUAAGUGUGAAAGCUGCUGUUUCUAGAGUGUAUCCCCAAAAUGACAACGGUAGGUCCGACUGGCUCAUCAUUGAUCGAACCAUGUCUAACAAAGUUCGAUUACGUCGCUCGGACACACCAUUUCUCUGAGGUGUUCCAGGCGGCAUAAGUUGUGGAACAAUUCCGCAACUCUUUAGAUGAUUGCUAAACUCGUGGCUCAAAUACUCGCCUCCACGAUCAGAUCGUAAGGCCUUAAUUUUCUUGCCACGCUGAUUUUCAACUUCAUUCUGAAAUUCCUUGAACUUUUCAAAGGUUUCAGACUUGUGCCUCAUCAAGUAGACAUAGCCGUAUCUACUAAAAUCAUCAGUGAAAGUUAUGAAGUAUUGGAAUCCUCCUCUAGCCGUCGUGCUCAUUGGUCCGCAUACAUCACUAUGUAUGAGUUCCAACAAGUCUACUGCUCUCUCAGGAAAUCCUGUGAAAGGCGUCUUGGUCAUCUUGCCUAGCAAGCAAGCCUCGCAUGUCUCGUAUGAUUCAAAAUCAAACGAAGUUAGAAGUCCAUCAGAAUGGAGCUUCUUCAUGCGCUUAUCACUUAUAUGACCCAAACGACAAUGCCACAAGUAGGUAGGACUCAAAUCAUUAGGCCGAGGCCUUUUAGCACUUACAUUACAGACAAGUGAACCAUCAAGAUUUAAAACAAACAAUCCAUUCACAAUGGGUGCAAAAGCCAUAAACAUAUUAUUCUUAGAGAUCACACAACCAUUGUUUUCACUCGCAAAUGAAUAACCAUCCUUCAUCAAACAUGAAGGAGAUAAAAUGUUUCGACUUAAACUAGGAACAAAAUAACAAUUAUUCAACUCCAUAAUAAAUCCUGACGGGAGGUGGAGUUGCAUCGUCCCGACGGUCAAAGCAGCAACUCUUGCAUUAUUGCCCACGCGGAAAUCAACUUCUCCUCUUUCCACGCUUCUACUUCUUAUCAUUCCCUGCAUCGAAUUGCAAAUAUGAGCAACCGAUCCGGUAUCAAAUACCCAAGAAUUAAUAACUGUAUCAGCGAGAAAUAUGUUGUCUAUAACAUAAACAACAAGCGUACCUGAGGUAGAAGUACUCUUACUUCCGCCGUUCUUCAAGGAAGCUAGGUACUGCUUGCAGUUUCUCUUCCAGUGACCAAGUUCAUGACAGUAAAAGCACUCUUUAUCUGGAGCAGGUCCAGAUCCAGCUUUAACCUUGGGCGGUGGGUUUGGCUUGGACGUUCCAGCCUUGCCCUUCUUCUUCCAAGAAUUGCCCUUCUUCUUAAAGCUGGGCUUGUUCUGUAUCGCCAUCACAUGGCUGGUACUAGCGCUUUUCUUUAUGUCAGCCUCUGCUGUCUUGAGCAUACCACACAGCUCAUUCAGACCCUUCUCCGUCCCAUGCAUAUGGUAGUUCGAGAUGAAGUUCCCAUAGCUAGCCGGAAGAGAUGAAAGAAUGAAAUCAGUGGCCAACUCUUGGCCCAGUGGGAAGCCUAGCUUUUCCAACCGUUGAGUGUAACCAACCAUCUUGAUUACGUGUGGUCCUACCGCUGCGCCUUCUGCUAGCUUGCUCUCAACAAAGGCCUUAGACACAUUGAACCUUUCAGUCCUGGCCUGUGUUUGGAACAUGUCUCUAAGCGCCACGAUCAUAUCGUGCGCCUCAUGGUUUGUUUCGAACUGCAUCUGCAGCUCGGGUUCCAUGCAAGCAAGCAUAAGGCAGCUUACUUCGAGGUUAGCAUCACAUGCUUUCUUGUAAGCAUUCUUAGCAGCAGCGGGUGCAUCCUCAGCAGGUUCUUCUGGUAGUGGGUUGUCUAGAACAUCUUCCUUUUCUCAGCCCUGAGAACAAUUCUCAGGUUGCGGAUCCAAUCCGAGUAGUUUGUUCCAUUCAACUUGUCCUUCUCAAGGACCGAACGCAAAGCAAACGAUGUGGUGGUGUUGCUAGGUGCCAUUUAAUCUACAACAAAAGUAAUGCAAAAUACACUAAGACAAACGUAUCCAUGAUAGAGCAAAUUACAUUAAACUAUUUUAACAGAAUCUACUCCCACUAAAAUCAAUAUCCCUCUAUUGAAACUUAGUGAUUCAGGAUCCACAACUAACAAGUCUACUAGUGAGCUUUAGCAUCACCGCUAGCAAACGAGGUAGAUCGGUAAGCAACUUUUGCUAAUCAUAUCACAUAUGACUCCUGUUGUUGGGUGACAUCUCCAUGUCUCGGCGCCCAACCUUUAUGCCCCAAGGUCCUUAACCGUUAAGAUGACCUUGUUAAGCAAACCAACCCUUAUGCGUGUAAGUGUCCGACACAAACCCGUCUAGUCAAGGAAAACUAGUGGCACCCUAAUUUCAUAGACCCACCACUAAUUGUACAAGACAUGGGACGGUGCAAGUUUUAGUUGGGAGGGCAUACUAACUUAAACUUUGCAAGGGAUCGUUCUACUUCUAACAUCACAGCAUGCAGAAAGUAAAACAUAAAACAGAAUAGCAUUCACACAGUUGUGACACAGUAUGGCCCGUUUUUCAUAUGGUGAUCUCCAUCUCCAUAGAACCUGUUCACCAUGGUGAUCUCCAUCUCCAUGUUCCAUGUGCGCCAUCCUCCUGGUGAUGAGUCCUCCAAGAACUAGAGUAUGCUAUUACACCUAAUAGCUAGUAAAGAAUCUAGUAAUGAAGAUUACAUAGUUGCUUGGAUCAUCACAGAUUGGUACGCAGACCAUUAAAUACAAUAAAGUGACAACACAUAUGGCUCCUGCCUUGUUGCCGUACGCGCGACACGCAGGUCACGAAUGAGUUACACACAUGCAUCACAUACACAAGGGGCCAUACUGAUCACAAGAUACAUACAUCCUGCAAAAGAGAGUUAGGCGUCCUAACGUUCCAAACUUCGGAGGCCCGAAACUCCAUCUUCCAAGCCGAAUUUGGGAAAUCUAAUUUCGCCGAAAACGGCGAAGCGGUUGAAUUUCAUGUGUAACUUUUUCUAUAGAUCAAUUUUCGUAUAGAAAUCGCCCCGAUCCGAGAUCGUACCGAAAAGUUACGGCUGAUUUACCGAAGCAUGCGCAUACGGCAAAAUCCCGACCCCGGCAGUAGAUCACAUCUACUAUUGCACAUCUAAUGCGCCUGGCGUAUGACCCUGGAUCUCGAUUUGACCAAUCAUAUUGAUCUUCCCUCACUGCAACUGGAUUUACGUGUAUCACUUAACUCCGAUGGCGGAAACCGACCGGUAGGAGUAUGUCGUUACACUACCAUUGCAGCAAGGGCACGAAAUCAGGACAUAGAUCAAACAAAGAACUCGCAUAUCUCCAUAUGCACACAUCCCGAAUCCAAAACUAAGCAGCUACGGCUCUGAUACCACUGUUGGGAUACGAGGUAGGCUACGCUAGCGCAAAUCAAAAUUUCUACCGCGUAUAACCAGGAAGAACUGCCGUAUAAGGAUCACGGGAUUACCACUCGACGCACUACUGGUGCGGAAGAUGUAGAUAUGCGUCGGUGCAGAGAAGACGAUCACGUAGUCGUACGUAGUCGAUCAACGUAGUCGUACGUAGUCGAUCACGUCCAGCAGCUCCUCAGCAGCUCGUCCACGUGCACAGCAAGAUCGCCUCCGGUGCCGCGGCUCGUCGUCGGCUCGUCGUGGCUCGUCGGCGGCUCAUCGAUGGCUCGUCCAAGUGCUGCAGGCGCAACACCUCCAAGGUAUCCACACGUGCAGGGAGGAAGCGUCGCAAGCCGGACUGCUAGAUCCGCGAGUUGCAACAGGCGAGGGCGUAGGAGGCGCGGCAAGUCUGUUCAGCCAAAAGGUGUAAAACCCUAGGGCGCCCCCACCCCUCUAUUUAUAGGGGUUCCUGAUGGGCCUCUGGAUCCGAGGCCCAUUAGUACUCCUAAACCUAAUCCAACUCGGACCAGAUCCGAAUUAGGCUUCCAGCCCCUUAAGUGUGUGACCCUAUGGGUUCGGAUACGUAUAGACAUGGCCCGAGUACUCCUACUCGGCCCAAUAGUCGGUAGCGGCCUCUAGCAAGACGUGCCAACUCCUAUACGCAUACGAAGAUCAUAUCAGACGAACCAUCACAACAUAAUAUACAUGCUAUUCCCUUUGCCUCACGAUAUUUGGUCUAGCUUCAAGCCGACCACUCUUUCUUGAUCCUGUGAUUCGGAAUCCCUUUGUAGGUUAACUCUUAACCGUACGUAGCAUGGCCAUGCAUUUUCUGAUCCGAUCACUCGAGGGGCCCAGAGAUAUCACUCUCAAUCAGAGAGGGGCAAAUCCCAUCUUGAUUGACCAUGUCUCAUAGCAUGCUUCUUGACAAACCCGAAAGCUACCUUUAUAACUACCCUGUUACGGCGUAGCGUUUGAUAGCCCCUAAGUAGGUCAAUCCACAUUUAGAAUACAUGCGACAAUCUCAGGUCUAAGGACAAAGCGUAUAUGUUGUUUAAAGAGAGAACUACUUCUCGUGUUGGGUCAGUCCUAACACAUGUCUCCACAUGUGUCCACAUUAUUAGUUCAACAACUCCAUGUCCAUGACUUGUGAAACAUAGUCAUCAACUAAUACAUGUGCUAGUCUAAUAUUCAUGUGUGUCCUCACAUGAACUCCGACUAGGGACAACUUUAGAAUAACCAUACAAGUAAAGAGUUUUCACAUACAAUUCACAUAAUUGCAAAUCAAUUCAAGUAGCCUUUAAUGGAUAUUCAAUGAACACAAUAUACAAAUCAUGGAUACAAAUGGAAUAUCAUCAUCUCUAUGAUUGCCUCUAGGGCAUACCUCCAACACCUUCAGUUCCCAUCCCGUUCU